GAAUGAAGAACGUAGCGAAAUGCGAUACGUAAUGUGAAUUGCAGAAUUCAGUGAAUCAUCGAAUCUUUGAACGCAUAUUGCGCUCUUUGGUAUUCCGAAGAGCAUGCUUGUUUGAGUAUCAGUAAACACCUCAACCUCUUCUUGAUUUUUCAAAAGGAGGGUGGACUUGAGCUAUCCCAACAACCUUUACCGGUCGGCGGGCGGCUUGAAAUGCAGGUGCAGCUGGACUUUUAUCUGAGCUAAAAGCAUAUCUAUUUAGUCCUCGUCAAACAGGAUUAUUACUUUUGCUGCAGCUAACAUAAAGGAUAAUUGUCCUCUUUGCUGACUGAUGCAGGAUUUUACGACACUUUAUGUGUUGUUCAACUCGAUCUCAAAUCAAGUAAGACUACCCGCUGAACUUAAGCAUAUCAAUAAGCGGAGGA
Molecule: unclassified non-coding RNA, 422 nt
Filed under: soil metagenome
Description: partial contains 5.8S ribosomal RNA, internal transcribed spacer 2, and large subunit ribosomal RNA
Rfam family: 5.8S ribosomal RNA (bases 3-121)
Source: RNAcentral